CGUCAACGGGAAGAUGAGCGGGCAAGAUUUAUCAGCUCUAUCGUUCAUGCAAGUGACAGGGACUAUGUUACGCAAUUGAGGAUGAAACGAGAAGGUUUCUUCUCACUAUGUAACAUACUGCAAGAUAAAACGCAACUACGCGAUACUCGUAAUGUUAGUCUUGAAGAGCAAUUAGUCAUAUUCCUCCAUACAAUUGGAUAUAACGUGCGUAAUCGUGUGAUAGGAUACAAGUUUAUAUGUUCAGGUGAAAUCGUAAGUCGUCACUUUCACCGUGUGCUUGAUGCAAUAGUGUCUUUGUAUCCUGAAUUUGUUAAGCUAACUAGUACUAAUACCCCCGCCGAGAUUCAAUCAAAUCCUUAUUGGGCCACUUAUUUCCAGGAUUGUGUUGGUGCGAUAGACGGGAUGCAUAUUCCCGUUCACGUGGAAGCAUCCCAACACCCAAGCUUUCGCAAUAGGAAGGGUGUUGUAUCUCAAAAUGUACUACUGCUUGUUCGUUUGACAUGACAUUCUUAUACGUGCUAGCUGGAUGGGAGGGUUCCGCUUCGGAUGCAUGGGUCCUACAUAACGCACUGAUGCGAAGUGAUGAUCCACUAAUUGUCCCACACGGUAAUUGUUUUAUCACAAAUACCUGGUAAUAUUGUUCACAGUAACAUUAUUCUCAACACACUAACCCUUAAAACCAUAACUCUUACGCAUUGUAGGAAAAUAUUUCUUUGUUGACGCAGGAUACGCUCACUCACCUGGAUUCAUGGCGCCUUACCGCGGUGUUCGAUAUCACUUGCAAAAAUAUCGAACCGGGAGAGCACCCAUGAAUAAGGAGCUAUUCAACUACCGGCAUGCGCAAUUGCGAAACGCAAUUGAGUGUUGUUUCAGUGUAAUGAAUGGUAGAUUUCCUAUUUUGAAGACAGCUGCGCAAUAUCCAUUUGAAACAUAGGUCAAGAUUGUAGUAGCUUGUUCUGUAUUACAUAAUUUCAUUCGUCAGGAAGACGAAACUGAACAAGAUUUAGACGAUGUUGGUAUACCCAUGGGGGAUGUAGAGAGUAAUCCUAUACCAAAUGAGGUAUCAACAAAGGAUGAGCGACAGUGGCUAGUUCAAGUGACACAGCGGGAGAAAGAGGCGUGGAUCAAAGUUCGAGAUGAAAUUGUGGAGCGCAUGUGGACAGACACCCAAAUGAAUAGUAGGAAUAGAUAGGCUCCUUUUUUUAUUAAAUGCAUUGACUUAUCGGAUAGGCACAUAGAUGUAUAAGUAAAAUAUGGUUGAUUUGGACACUAUCAUUUUGGACUUACAUAUUCGCUUGGUACGAUUAUAUACUCUUCAAUACAUGAAUAGUUACUAGUAGAAUUGUACACUUCACUGUUUAUUCGGUUUAUAACUAUUUGUUAAUCCACACAUUAAGUGAGAUGUCUGAAAUUGGGUAAGUAGUACACCUACGUUGAUGCAGUCCCCGGCGAGGUCUCCAGUUCUACCGACACGUUUUUCUUCAUGCGAGAAGACUGUGAAAUCGCUUGUUGAGCCUCUAUUGCGAGCUGCAAAGAUCAAGUGCACCAGAAAUAUGGAUCAGAUAUUGUUCAAUACGUUGUUGGAACAAAUCGCUUUGGGUCGAAAGGCGGAUAAUGGAUUUAAGAGAGAAGCAUAUCAUGUGGCCGCUAAGGAGGUGUCUAAGAGGACUGAAAUAUCGGUAAACUGGCAAAACAUCCAAAACCGAUUGCGGUAUCAUAAGCGAGAGUAUAAUGAUGUGAGGGAGAUGUUGGCCGCAAGUGGUUUUGGGUGGGAUAGCAAGCAUAUGGUUGUCACAGCCCCAGACGAGGUAUGGGAAGAGUACCUCAAGGCAAUGGUUGCUCACAACCCUUUGCAUUGAAUUUCAUUUGUUACAUAAGUUUCUCUCUUUAAUUAUGUGUACUCAACUAUCAUCUACUUACCUAAUCCUUUCCUUGUAUGUAGACGCAUCCGAGAGCAAAAAAACUAUGUGGGAAGCGGAUAGAACAAUUGGACGAUUUAGCAGCGAUUGUAGGUACAGACCAUGCAACAGGCUGCUACGCCCAAGGAAGCAGGAAUAUGGCUGUAGCUUCAUCUUGUGUUCAACGAGAUCUAAAUGAAGCAUGGACUGACCUGGACGAUGACACCGAUGCACAUAUCGAUAUUUUCGAGGAUAAUCUCAGGGAUUUAGUUGGAAAUUUUCGAGCUUCGAAUGAAAGCCAUGAGGAAUCUGAAAAUCUCUCAUUCUGCAACACUCCCAGUCGAGGAACCGAGUGUGGGAGUAGUCGUGGUGGGAGUACGACAAUGAAACAGAUGCGUACUGCUCGUCCCUAUGACGUCCUUGGGGUAUCUCUGGAUGAGGUGGCAGAGGCAAUGCAAAAUUUGAACUUGGUAAAGAGGUCAACCGUACUACUAAAGUACUAGAUCUCCUCGAGGAGGUUCAGGGACUGACCAACCCAGAGUUCAUCGAGGUUGGUCAGCUACUGACCAGGGAUGAGAAGCUAGCCUCCUUUUUUGUAAGUCUUUAACCAGUGCGGAGGGUCGAUUGGUUGAAGAAAACUUUGUCUGAUUUCAAUAGAAAUGUUGGUGGGGGUUCUACUUGAUGGUUGCAACGACAUUAAUUAGAUUUCAUUUUGGAUAAUUUCAAUAUCAGGAUAUGUAAUAACUAUAUGCACAUUCUACACUUAUUUUUUUGGUAACUGUCUAUUUUUAGGGUUUUUGGAUAUUUACCACAUGCAU
Long non-coding RNA from Magnolia sinica, 2716 nucleotides. RefSeq lists it as uncharacterized. The transcript has 2 exons. The record is from RefSeq and is a predicted model, not a curated record. Lineage: Eukaryota; Viridiplantae; Streptophyta; Magnoliopsida; Magnoliales; Magnoliaceae.